Long non-coding RNA from Oryzias sinensis (Chinese medaka), 1119 nucleotides. Lineage: Eukaryota; Metazoa; Chordata; Actinopteri; Beloniformes; Adrianichthyidae. The record is from Ensembl.
UGUAAAUAAAGAGAACAUUACUCUGUGGAGGACAGUGUAAUUUUCUUACAUAUAAAAAUUUAAAAAAUCCAUUUUAUUAUUUAUUUAAACUGAACAAACUAGACCGAAAAAGAAAAGUUAGAUUAACUUUGAAAUCUCAAUCUUUUUACUAACAAUCACCAGCCAAACUGGAGGUAAAAAAGACUAAAUUGUCCCACAAUUACAUUAUAUUAGACAGAAAAGGCACACAAAGGUGUUGCUGCAUUUUGACAUAAGCCUAAAUACUGCAGGCCCGUUGACCUCAUGGCUCUGGGUGUCGCUGCAAAGCCUCCUGCAGUUUAACGCCGUCUUCUCAGCCAUGACCGAGCGUCCAGCUGAUGAUGUUCUCCCAAUGAACAUCAAAAGACUAAAAGAUGAGGAGUUUUGCUAUUUCUCAGUUCAAUAGGUUAGAUAACUUGGAGCUGUUUGCUUCAGUUUUCUUUAUUUUUCCGUCACUCUUUGUUUGUUGAAUUUACUUUUCAGGUUUUGGUGUUUGGCUUUCCUCUCCUUCACUAAUAAAAAUCCCACCAGGUUUGAGUUUCUGACCACCGCAGCUGUUCCUGUUUGAGUUAAUCGGCUCAGGUUUUCUUUCCUGUUGGGUCUUUCCAACACCUUUGAUUACUUUUAUGUUCUGUUUUAACAGGGGAGGGGGGUAAUUUUCAGUUGAACAACUUCAGUUUUUUUUCUUUUUGGUCGUCCAGCCUGAAGAUCCCAGUGUUUGGGGUCAACUCCUGACUGAACAAAGGACUGGAAAAGUCAUGGAAAUGAAGAAAAAUAGGCCUGAAAAUUGGAGCAGGUGGAAUUGAAUCAGCAAACUCUGACGGAGUCCGAAAGCGUCGCAGUGCUAAGUGGGGGAUCAAACGGCAGCAGGAGCGAGGAGGCCAACGCUGCAUUCAGCUGGAUGGAGAUGGAGGCCUGGAACCAGACGUCCUGAUAAUGUGGAGAAAAUGAGAGGAGCGGAAACCUCUCGGCUUCUGUUCCCACACCAAGCUGGGCUCUUUGUGGAGAACAGGAAGCUGGACUGGAUGCCUGCUGUCUCCAAGUCAUGGCAAGUGGGUAUUAGAUGCCUAAGGAGGAGGUGGACACUCAUCCAAGUAUGAG